GAUGAAGAACGUAGUGAAAUGCGAUAAGUAAUGCGAAUUGCAGAAUUUCCGUGAGUCAUCGAAUCUUUGAACGCACAUUGCGCCCACCGGUAUUCCGGUGGGCAUGCCUGUUCGAGCGUCAUUAUCCUCCCUCAAACCCCGGGUUUGGUGUUGGACCUCAAGUUGUGCGAACAACUGGUCUUAAAGACAAUGACGGCGUCCGGAGGACCCUCGGUGCAACGAGCUUUCAGGAGCACGCGUCGAGUUUCAAGGACCUUCCGGCCCGGUCUCUUUACUCCUUUCACAAGGUUGACCUCGGAUCAGGUAGGAAUACCCGCUGAACUUAAGCAUAUCAAUAAGCGGAGGA
This 346-nucleotide unclassified non-coding RNA is filed under the name soil metagenome. RNAcentral's name for it is "partial contains 5.8S ribosomal RNA, internal transcribed spacer 2, and large subunit ribosomal RNA". The stretch from base 1 to 121 matches the Rfam family "5.8S ribosomal RNA", at positions 35 to 154 of the family's 154-position model. The record is from RNAcentral.